CAGCAGCCGCGGUAAUACGUAGGUGGCAAGCGUUGUCCGGAAUUAUUGGGCGUAAAGCGCGCGCAGGCGGUUUCUUAAGUCUGAUGUGAAAGCCCCCGGCUUAACCGGGGAGGGUCAUUGGAAACUGGGAGACUUAGAGUGCAGAAGAGAAGAGUGGAAUUCCAUGUGUAGCGGUGAAAUGCGUAGAUAUAUGGAGGAACACCAGUGGCGAAGGCGACUCUCUGGUCUGUAACUGACGCUGAAGCGCGGAAGCGUGGGGAGCGAACAGGAUUAGAUACCCCUGUAGUCCCUGUCUCUUAUA
This 301-nucleotide ribosomal RNA is filed under the name uncultured bacterium. RNAcentral's name for it is "partial 16S ribosomal RNA". It matches the Rfam family "Bacterial small subunit ribosomal RNA", at positions 509 to 808 of the family's 1533-position model. The record is from RNAcentral.